This 1298-nucleotide long non-coding RNA is filed under the name Homo sapiens (human). RNAcentral describes it as "HSALNT0399705". Lineage: Eukaryota; Metazoa; Chordata; Mammalia; Primates; Hominidae. The record is from RNAcentral.
CUGGCUGGCAAAUCCUGAGCUUCACUCCAGGUGGUCACAAUCUGACCCUUGUGACCUCAUGCUUCCCCACCCCCAUUUGUGAAGUUCCAUCACAGGAAGUUCUUCUCCAGUGGCCCCUGAUCCAGGGAGACCCACCCUGCAACAGCCCUUGUCUCCCUCCGCCCUUGGUUCCUUCUCACCCAUCUCACCACCAUCUGCCCAGGGGAGCCACAUGUCCCAAAUUUUGGAGAGAAAAUAAUUGAGGCUCAUUUCCAGGACAGAGGGGCAAGCUGGGUCUAAAGAGCCAAGCAGAAAGGCUUCCCAAAAUCGCUAGGUUGGGAGGGGUCAGAGACGUGUGGCUGCCCCAGCUGUUCUGACUCUGCCCCAGCUUUUGGCUCCACCCCCUUAAAGCACCUUCAGAGGUUCCCAUGGCGACAGUAAACAAGUCUCCACUGCCUUGGCCAUGUGCUGUGUUCACCCCACUCCUGAUCUUGUUGGCUGCUCAGGGGCUGACAGCCCAGAUGUGCAGCUGUGAUGAGCAGAAACAGGGAGGAAUGGAGCCCCCAGCCAUUGUCAUCACUUCCUCAAGCUGUCUAAAUUCUGCCCAGCAGUCUGUGAAAAUGUUGUGCUGAUGACAUAUUAAGUCAUGUAUCCGUUAAAAGAAUAUCUGGAAACCUCCAAAAGGAAGCCAAGCAUAGACUAUUUGGAAGAACUUGAAGGAGCGAGAGCUGACCCCAUCUUUGUACACUGGCAGCACAAGGACAACAAUCAACACGGAAGACUUCUGUGACCAAAUGUGUGCACGUUUCUCUCCAUACACCAAGCAAGCAAUCUAUUCUGCAGCAGACACCAACUGGAAGUCCUCCAAUUCAAUUCAAUUCUGACACUGUCUACCUGGAAAUGGCCUCAGCAACCACAGGUUGAGAGCUCAGUCCCACAAGAACACCUCCUCCUUCCAACCAGUUGAAACUCCACACCUCCAGAACUUCUCACUGACUGGCUUCGAGUUGAGAAAAACAUCAAAAUGUUGUACAAAUUUGUAAGGAUUUGAUAAUAAAUUUUGGCAGAUGUCCAAUAUCAAGAUCACCAACCACUUCAUUAAUAAUUGUUGUUAAGUCAUGGAACUUGUCUGCAGAAAUUGUAUUCUUCCAAGCUUCUAACUGAGGAUUUUGCCCUUCAACCUUAUCUGCUGUGAAAAGACAUGUUUUUUUUUGCAAAGCAAUAUUAAGAUAAUUGAAAUAUCCAAAAUACUAGACAAAUGAGAAAGAUUCGUUGUCCAAUUUCAUCUUAAAGUCAAUAUCAAAUUGGUUGCUUACCUU